AUCCAACUUUUGUUUUUUCAAUAGGACACAUCAAACUUAUUGGGAAUUUCACAAGAAAAGGCUUUAAUUCUCUGGAUAUCAGGAGUGAUGUUGCCUGAAGAGGCCAAGGAUAAAGUAGCCCUCCGUGCUGCCUUGGCACAAACUAUCACACCUCCAAAUGGCCAUUAAAGGGUUACUGGCAUGAUAUUUAUGGGGUACUUUUAUUAUCUAAAUGACACUGUUGUACAUAGCAACUAUUUCCCUCUGCCAUUUAACAUUUUAUUCUUCUGCAUCCAGGAUGCCAAGAUCUUGGUCAGGCCCAGUGUUCAGCAUCACCUGAGGGGACAGUAGGGAGAAAAGAUUCAUUGGCAUCUACUCUCAACCCCCAUUGGGCCACUGUGACCAAAACCUUGCAAAAAAGAAAAAGAAAAACAUAAUUAAGUUGUAGGUUCCACCGCCACGUUCCCCUACCUAAUGCUCAUGGUCUGCUUAUCCGGGGGGUUCUGAGUGGAAUCGAGUUUUACCUGUACCCUGAUCUCAGCAGGCUGAAGGAGCCUCAGGCGUAUAAAGGCUCUUGCAAAAACUGGCUGCACAAUUCCUGGCCCUAUGGAAUGCAAUUUACUGGCCCUACGGAACAGGACUUUCUGGCCCUAUGGAAUGGGACUUACUGGCCCUACGGAACGGGACAUACUGGCCCUAUGGUAU
This is a long non-coding RNA of Xenopus tropicalis (tropical clawed frog), 684 nucleotides long. RefSeq lists it as uncharacterized. The record is from RefSeq and is a predicted model, not a curated record. NCBI's taxonomy places the organism in Eukaryota, Metazoa, Chordata, Amphibia, Anura, Pipidae. The transcript is spliced from 3 exons.